This 213-nucleotide ribosomal RNA is filed under the name uncultured bacterium. Its description in RNAcentral is "partial 16S ribosomal RNA". It matches the Rfam family "Bacterial small subunit ribosomal RNA", at positions 118 to 334 of the family's 1533-position model. The record is from RNAcentral.
UCGGAACGUACCUCGUAGUGGGGGAUAACUCGGCGAAAGCCGUGCUAAUACCGCAUAUGCUCUACGGAGGAAAGCAGGGGACCGCAAGGCCUUGUGCUAUGGGAGCGGCCGAUGUCCGAUUAGCUAGUUGGUGAGGUAAUGGCUCACCAAGGCGACGAUCGGUAGCUGGUCUGAGAGGAUGAUCAGCCACACUGGGACUGAGACACGGCCCAG